CAGCCGCCGCGGGAAUACGGAGGGGGCUAGCGUUGUUCGGAAUUACUGGGCGUAAAGCGCACGUAGGCGGCUUGGUAAGUUAGAGGUGAAAGCCCGGAGCUCAACCCCGGAAUUGCCUUUAAGACUGCCGAGCUAGUAGGUGAGAGAGGUAAGUGGAAUUCCGAGUGUAGAGGUGAAAUUCGCAGAUAUUCGGAAGAACACCAGUGGCGAAGGCGGCUUACUGGCUCAUUCUAGACGCUGAGGUGCGAAAGCGUGGGGGGCAAACAGGAUUAGAGACCCCCGUAGUCCAUGUCUCUUAUAC
This 301-nucleotide ribosomal RNA is filed under the name uncultured bacterium. RNAcentral describes it as "partial 16S ribosomal RNA". It matches the Rfam family "Bacterial small subunit ribosomal RNA", at positions 509 to 807 of the family's 1533-position model. The record is from RNAcentral.